GUGACCUCGGAUCAGUAGAUGCCAGUG
RNAcentral lists this ribosomal RNA (27 nucleotides) under Fusarium cf. equiseti MY-2011. Its description in RNAcentral is "partial 28S large subunit ribosomal RNA". The record is from RNAcentral. Lineage: Eukaryota; Fungi; Ascomycota; Sordariomycetes; Hypocreales; Nectriaceae.